GGCCACUGUCAAGUGUCGAGGCAGAAAUUGAAUUCUUGUCUUCCCCGCAGUUGAGUCAGAAUAAGGGAAAAGAAUCAAAGCAUGCUUUCCCAUUCACUGGAUGGCAAAUUCCGCCACUUCUGUCAAGAAUCGUUACUCGUUAACCAUCUUCUUGUUCCUUGUUUUGUUCCUCUUAACCAUUUUCCUUUUCAGUAAACGCGCUCUCGAGCCUCCGCUCUCCCUCUACAGAGAUUUCUUUCCACAAACCAAUGUUCACCUUUCCACGCCCGAUUCCAUCCCUUCGGACACCCUUUACCAACUCAUAUCUCCAAUUUCUG
Molecule: unclassified non-coding RNA, 317 nt
Filed under: Hevea brasiliensis (rubber tree)
Lineage: Eukaryota; Viridiplantae; Streptophyta; Magnoliopsida; Malpighiales; Euphorbiaceae
Source: RNAcentral